Molecule: ribosomal RNA, 220 nt
Filed under: Vibrio parahaemolyticus
Lineage: Bacteria; Pseudomonadati; Pseudomonadota; Gammaproteobacteria; Vibrionales; Vibrionaceae
Description: partial 16S ribosomal RNA
Rfam family: Bacterial small subunit ribosomal RNA
Source: RNAcentral
ACGCUGGCGGCAGGCCUAACACAUGCAAGUCGAGCGGAAACGAGUUGUCUGAACCUUCGGGGAACGAUAAUGGCGUCGAGCGGCGGACGGGUGAGUAAUGCCUAGGAAAUUGCCCUGAUGUGGGGGAUAACCAUUGGAAACGAUGGCUAAUACCGCAUGAUACCUACGGGUCAAAGAGGGGGACCUUCGGGCCUCUCGCGUCAGGAUAUGCCUAGGUGGG